GUUCCCAUCGUCUAGCGGUUAGGACAUCGCCCUUUCAAGGCGGCAACACGGGUUCGAUUCCCGUUGGGAACGCCA
RNAcentral lists this transfer RNA (75 nucleotides) under Holosporales bacterium. Its description in RNAcentral is "tRNA-Glu". It matches the Rfam family "tRNA". From Rfam's summary of the family: Transfer RNA (tRNA) molecules are approximately 80 nucleotides in length. Lineage: Bacteria; Pseudomonadati; Pseudomonadota; Alphaproteobacteria; Holosporales. The record is from RNAcentral.